Molecule: ribosomal RNA, 416 nt
Filed under: uncultured Mollicutes bacterium
Lineage: Bacteria; Bacillati; Mycoplasmatota; Mollicutes
Description: bacterial SSU rRNA
Rfam family: Bacterial small subunit ribosomal RNA
Source: RNAcentral
CGGGGAACCUUACCAAGGCUUAAAUGUAGAUUGACAGGUUGGAAACAGACUUUUCUUCGGACAAGUUUACAAGGUGCUGCAUGGUUGUCGUCAGCUCGUGCCGUGAGGUGUUGGGUUAAGUCCCGCAACGAGCGCAACCCUCAUUGUUAGUUACUACCAUUCAGUUGAGGACUCUAAUGAGACUGCCAACGAUAAGUUGGAGGAAGGUGGGGAUGACGUCAAAUCAUCAUGCCCUUUAUGACCUGGGCUACAAACGUACUACAAUGGCCGGUACAAAGAGAUGCGAAGUGGCGACAUGGAGCGAACCUCAGAAAGCCGGUCUCAGUUCAGAUUGAAGUCUGCAACUCGACUUCAUGAAGGCGGAAUCGCUAGUAAUCGCGGGUCAGCAGACCGCGGUGAAUACGUUCCCGGGUUUU